This 424-nucleotide ribosomal RNA is filed under the name uncultured bacterium. RNAcentral's name for it is "bacterial SSU rRNA". It matches the Rfam family "Bacterial small subunit ribosomal RNA", at positions 355 to 776 of the family's 1533-position model. The record is from RNAcentral.
UGAGGAAUAUUGGUCAAUGGAGGCAACUCUGAACCAGCCAUGCCGCGUGAAGGAUUAAGGUCCUCUGGAUUGUAAACUUCUUUUAUAGACGAAGAAACCCCAUUAUUCUUAGUGGGUUGACGGUACUCUAUGAAUAAGCACCGGCUAACUCCGUGCCAGCAGCCGCGGUAAUACGGAGGGUGCAAGCGUUAUCCGGAUUCACUGGGUUUAAAGGGAGCGUAGGUGGGUUGGUAAGUCAGCGGUGAAAUCCCCAAGCUUAACUUGGGAACUGCCAUUGAUACUAUCAAUCUUGAAUUCUGUGGAGGUAAGCGGAAUAUGUCAUGUAGCGGUGAAAUGCUUAGAUAUGACAUAGAACACCGAUAGCGAAGGCAGCUUACUACGCAGAUAUUGACACUGAGGCUCGAAAGCGUGGGGAUCAAACAGG